GGGCCCGCACAAGCGGUGGAGUAUGUGGUUUAAUUCGAUGCAACGCGAAGAACCUUACCAGGGUUUGACAUCCUGCGAAUCUCUUGGAAACAGGAGAGUGCCUUCGGGAACGCAGUGACAGGUGCUGCAUGGUUGUCGUCAGCUCGUGCCGUGAGGUGUCAGGUUAAGUCCUAUAACGAGCGCAACCCCUAUCGUUAGUUGCCAGCGGGUCAUGCCGGGAACUCUAGCGAAACUGCCGGUGCAAACCGAGAGGAAGGUGGGGAUGACGUCAAGUCAUCAUGCCCCUUACAUCCUGGGCUACACACGUACUACAAUGCUACGGACAAAGGGCUGCAAGUUCGCGAGGACAAGCAAAUCCCAUAAACCGUGGCUCAGUUCAGAUCGUAGGCUGCAACUCGCCUACGUGAAGGCGGAAUCGCUAGUAAUCGC
This 429-nucleotide ribosomal RNA is filed under the name uncultured bacterium. RNAcentral's name for it is "bacterial SSU rRNA". It matches the Rfam family "Bacterial small subunit ribosomal RNA", at positions 917 to 1345 of the family's 1533-position model. The record is from RNAcentral.